This 515-nucleotide ribosomal RNA is filed under the name uncultured bacterium. Its description in RNAcentral is "partial 16S ribosomal RNA". It matches the Rfam family "Bacterial small subunit ribosomal RNA", at positions 28 to 523 of the family's 1533-position model. The record is from RNAcentral.
GAUGAACGCUGGCGGCGUGCCUAAUACAUGCAAGUCGAGCGAAUGGAUUAAGAGCUUGCUCUUAUGAAGUUAGCGGCGGACGGGUGAGUAACACGUGGGUAACCUGCCCAUAAGACUGGGAUAACUCCGGGAAACCGGGGCUAAUACCGGAUAAUAUUUUGAACUGCAUGGUUCAAAAUUGAAAGGCGGCUUCGGCUGUCACUUAUGGAUGGACCCGCGGCGCAUUAGCUAGUUGGUGAGGUAACGGCUCACCAAGGCUACGAUGCGUAGCCGGCCUGGGAGGGUGAGCGGCCACACUGGGCCUGAGACACGGCCCAGACUCCUACGGGAGGCAGCAGUAGGGAAUCUUCCGCAAUGGACGAAAGUCUGACGGAGCAACGCCGCGUGAGUGAUGAAGGCUUUCGGGUCGUAAAACUCUGUUGUUAGGGAAGAACAAGUGCUAGUUGAAUAAGCUGGCACCUUGACGGUACCUAACCAGAAAGCCACGGCUAACUACGUGCCAGCCGCCGCGGUAA